CUACGGGAUGCACCAGUGAGGAAUAUUGCACAAUGGGGGGAACCCUGAUGCAGCAACGCCGCGUGGAGGAUGACGCAUUUCGGUGUGUAAACUCCUUUUAUAUGUCAAGAAAAUGACGGUAGCAUAUGAAUAAGCACCGGCUAACUCCGUGCCAGCAGCCGCGGUAAUACGGAGGGUGCAAGCGUUAGUCGGAAUCACUGGGCGUAAAGGACGCGUAGGCGGGUUGGAAAGUCAGGUGUGAAAUCCUACAGCUUAACUGUAGAACUGCACUUGAAACUGCUAAUCUAGAGUAUGGGAGGGGGAGAUGGAAUUAGUGGUGUAGGGGUAAAAUCCGUAGAUAUCACUAGGAAUACCUAAAGCGAAGGCGAUCUCCUGGAACAUUACUGACGCUAAGGCGUGAAAGCGUGGGGAGCAAACAGGAUUAGAUACCCCAGUAGUC
This 439-nucleotide ribosomal RNA is filed under the name uncultured bacterium. RNAcentral describes it as "partial 16S ribosomal RNA". It matches the Rfam family "Bacterial small subunit ribosomal RNA", at positions 339 to 795 of the family's 1533-position model. The record is from RNAcentral.